RNAcentral lists this ribosomal RNA (498 nucleotides) under uncultured bacterium. RNAcentral describes it as "partial 16S ribosomal RNA". It matches the Rfam family "Bacterial small subunit ribosomal RNA", at positions 27 to 507 of the family's 1533-position model. The record is from RNAcentral.
GGAUGAACGCUGGCGGCGUGCCUAAUACAUGCAAGUCGAGCGAACAGACGAGGAGCUUGCUCCUCUGACGUUAGCGGCGGACGGGUGAGUAACACGUGGAUAACCUACCUAUAAGACUGGGAUAACUUCGGGAAACCGGAGCUAAUACCGGAUAAUAUAUUGAACCGCAUGGUUCAAUAGUGAAAGACGGUUUUGCUGUCACUUAUAGAUGGAUCCGCGCCGCAUUAGCUAGUUGGUAAGGUAACGGCUUACCAAGGCAACGAUGCGUAGCCGACCUGAGAGGGUGAUCGGCCACACUGGAACUGAGACACGGUCCAGACUCCUACGGGAGGCAGCAGUAGGGAAUCGUCCGCAAUGGGCGAAAGCCUGACGGAGCAACGCCGCGUGAGUGAUGAAGGUCUUCGGAUCGUAAAACUCUGUUAUUAGGGAAGAACAAAUGUGUAAGUAACUAUGCACGUCUUGACGGUACCUAAUCAGAAAGCCACGGCUAACUACGUG